RNAcentral lists this unclassified non-coding RNA (153 nucleotides) under soil metagenome. Its description in RNAcentral is "partial internal transcribed spacer 1". The record is from RNAcentral.
GUGAUUAAAAUCGAGCGUGUCUUCAUUGACCGCUCACCCUUCUCACCAUCCACAUACACCUGUGCACUGUUUAGCCUGAGCCGGUUUUCCGGUCCAGGUUAUCAUUUCAUACAAACUCUAGUCUUAUGAAUGUAAACGUUUAAUAACAUAAUA